GCACGGGUGCGUAACGCGUAUGCAACCUACCCUUAACAGAGACAUAACCUGGCGAAAGCUGGGCUAAUAUCUCAUGAGGUUAUAGAGGGGCAUCCCUAAAUAAUCAAAGCAGCGAUGUGGUUAAGGAUGGGCAUGCGUCCCAUUAGCUAGUUGGUGAGGUAACGGCUCACCAAGGCGACGAUGGGUAGGGGUUCUGAGAGGAAGGUCCCCCACACUGGUACUGAGACACGGACCAGACUCCUACGGGAGGCAGCAGUAAGGAAUAUUGGGCAAUGGUCGGAAGACUGACCCAGCCAUGCCGCGUGCAGGAAGAAGGCCCUAUGGGUUGUAAACUGCUUUAGCCAGGGGCUAAAUCUACCGAUGCGUUGGUAGCUGAAGGUACCUGGAGAAUAAGCAUCGGCUAACUCCGUGCCAGCAGCCGCGGUAAUACGGAGGAUGCGAGCGUUAUCCGGAUUUACUGGGUUUAAAGGGUGCGCAGGCGGUUGUUUAAGUCAGGGGUGAAAGCCCUAUGCUCAACAUAGGGAUUGCCUUUGAUACUGAACGGCUAGAGUGAAGAUGGAGUGGGUGGAAUGUGUUGUGUAGCGGUGAAAUGCAUAGAUAUAACACAGAACACCGAUCGCGAAGGCAGCUCACUAAUUUUCAACUGACGCUCAUGCACGAAAGCGUGGGGAUCAAACAGGAUUAGAUACCCUGGUAGUCCACGCUGUAAACGAUGAUCACUAGCUGUUGGUACGCAGAAGUAUCAGUGGCUAAGCGAAAGUGAUAAGUGAUCCACCUGGGGAGUACGACCGCAAGGUUGAAACUCAAAGGAAUUGACGGGGGCCCGCACAAGCGGAGGAGCAUGUGGUUUAAUUCGAUGAUACGCGAGGAACCUUACCAGGGCUCGAAC
RNAcentral lists this ribosomal RNA (889 nucleotides) under uncultured bacterium. Its description in RNAcentral is "bacterial SSU rRNA". It matches the Rfam family "Bacterial small subunit ribosomal RNA", at positions 100 to 986 of the family's 1533-position model. The record is from RNAcentral.